Long non-coding RNA from Amphiprion ocellaris (clown anemonefish), 369 nucleotides. The record is from Ensembl. Lineage: Eukaryota; Metazoa; Chordata; Actinopteri; Pomacentridae.
AGGAGAGAGGCUGACCUUGUGCGUGUGUGCUCUGCUGCAUCGCUUUCCAGAGGAGACCAGGCCUCCAACCCACUGCAGACAGGAAGAUACUCUGUUCAAAACCAAAGCUGCAGAGAGAGGGAACAGCCAUGAGUCUGCUGUGAUAAUGGAUCGCAGCAGGGCAGACAGGAGCAGAACUCGAAGAUGUGGUAACUACAACAACGUAGUGGAGCCCGAGUACGACGUGGUGGACGACCAAGAGGAAGUGCACAAUGUGCGCAUAUUUCCUGCCAGGCCCAUAAAUGAUGAGAGAGAGUACGCAGUCUGCUGCUGCGGUGCACUACUGGGACUGGCAUCGACCGAGUUACAAGAAUGAUACAAACUCAAAGA